GGGUGGGUAGUAAAGCAAGCAACUUAGCAACUCCUUAUCAAUUCCUGAUUCCUUUGCUUUGGGGAUAAAGGAUUGCAGAAGGUAGAGUGAAGAGGAGAGAACAACUAUGAAUUCUAGACUAGAUGGACACUAGCAAAUGCUGAAUGGUAUAUAUAAUUCUUGAAAGAGCAAGCCUCACUCCCACAGCUUUGAAUCCAGUUGUGAUGCUGAGGUGGCACUGCUUUUUCUAAAGUCCAUUUUGGGGGGUUGGCUGCCAUCUCUAUUCCAUCAGUUUCUCUUGUAUCCUCCUUACCGUGUAAUAGACCAGAAGGUUGUCAUAUUCCCAACUUUAUGGUGGCAGCAGCAAAAGACACAGGAUGAUUGUUUGUUCCCCAAACUGGAACCCGUCCUUAAUGGAGAGCAAAGGGCUGUUUUCAUGGCCCUGUUCUUCCUGAAAGCUACCGCUGGUUUAGCAUUGCUGCUGGGGAAGAGAGAGAUACCAACAAUAGUCACUACAAUCAAGAUGUUUUCUUUCUUUGGCUUACCUCUAAUGCAUUAUGUAUCCUGGGAUGAUGGGAUGUUCUGUAAUUAAUUCUGUUAGAUGUAAUUGCUAUAAUCACUUUGAUGUUACACAUAAUAAAGGUAAUAUGGUAAGCACAUAAAAAA
Molecule: long non-coding RNA, 645 nt
Organism: Erinaceus europaeus (western European hedgehog)
Lineage: Eukaryota; Metazoa; Chordata; Mammalia; Eulipotyphla; Erinaceidae
Exons: 2
Source: RefSeq, a predicted model, not a curated record